AGUGUAGAAAACGAAGAUAAAUCAAAGUCACUGAAACAAAUUCUUGAUUGGAGUUGAAGAUUUAUUAAAAUAAACGAAGAAUUAAUAAAUCACGAAGUUCAUGUUUUGGGGCUGGGCAACCCAAUCGAAACAAAUUAGCAACUCAUGUCGAUCGUAACGGAAAAGAGGUCCCGCUCUAGAGACGCAACUCGGUUUUUAUACCCCCGAACUGACACGCCUCGCGCACCCAAAAAUUGAGGCGUGUCACACAGACGCAUUGCGUAAUAUCAAUCCACCCAUAAUUAGUUUCCGUAUUAAAAGGUCCUAUAUUUCUUGGCGAAUUUACCCCCAGGAUAUAAGGCGCUCCGGAUGAUCCGCAUCUCUAUUCCUCACAUACUUCUUUCACGCACCCACCUGUGUCUCUUACAUUCUAAUCUCUCAAACAAGAGAUGCAAAUCACCCGGAGACCCAACAACCCUGGAAUAUAACAAGGGAUAAAUGUUGUUAUGUCCGUCCACACUAGCGAGCCCACAUGCUUCUGGCUAUUACACACCUGUAAUCCUCACUUCCCCUCUCAUACUAUUUCGAUAGUGUGAACAGACCCGGCAACAAGGAAAAACCCUUCCAAUUGUAAUACAAAUCUAUUUCCCAAAUUUGCCUGAUUAAAUUUAAGUCAACUGUGGCGACACGCCCAGCGACACCUAAUCCAAUCGGCCAAGCCGAAAAAGUAGAGCCAAAAUUAAGAGCGCAACGUCUCGGAACAGGUGUUAAAAAUAGCAUACAAGGAAUUUGCCUUGUAUAUGUACGUCAAUGAACCUUUGAGGAAAACGUAAACACGAGAAUAUCCAUAUCAUUACAAACUCCCCUACUGAAACGAUCUGUCCCAUAAGAUCGCAA
This is a long non-coding RNA of Strongylocentrotus purpuratus (purple sea urchin), 876 nucleotides long. RefSeq lists it as uncharacterized. The transcript has 2 exons. Lineage: Eukaryota; Metazoa; Echinodermata; Echinoidea; Camarodonta; Strongylocentrotidae. The record is from RefSeq and is a predicted model, not a curated record.